AUCUAUGCAUGUCUUCCAAAUAAAGACAUAGUCAAAGCAUCCAUCUUCUUGCUUAUGGCCUCUAACUGUGUAUUUACAAAUACUAUAGGGUCUACUACAUGGAUCCCACUUUCUUUGACUUGAACCUGCUCCCUUGGAUUCUGCCACUAAUUGCUCAUGACUGACAUAUCUUCAAUAAGAUCCAUAACUUGCUUUGGAGUCUUAUUAUUC
Molecule: long non-coding RNA, 210 nt
Filed under: Ricinus communis (castor bean)
Lineage: Eukaryota; Viridiplantae; Streptophyta; Magnoliopsida; Malpighiales; Euphorbiaceae
Description: long non-coding RNA (RCOM_LNC000413)
Source: RNAcentral